GAUAGGAAAAGGCUGACGGUAAAUGUAGGGAAAUCAAAGAUUAUGAGAUUAAGGAAAGGAGGCGGUAGAAGGAAAAACAUAGAUUGGAGAUGGAAAGGGAAAAAGAUAGAGGAGGUGAAAGAGUUCAGCUAUCUCGGGUAUAGAGUAAAGUGCAAUGGGGGACAGGAAGCACAGGUGAAAGAAAGAGUACGGAAGGCAGGGGUAGUAAUGAGGCAGGUAUGGGGAAUACGAAAAAGAAGGUUUGAGAGGGAUUGGGAAAAAAGGAUUUGGUUAUUUGACAGGCUAGUAUGGACGGUAAUAGAGUAUGCAUCGGAGAUAUAGGGGUGGAGGGAAAGAGAGUCUUCGCCUGUG
This is a long non-coding RNA of Neodiprion virginianus, 351 nucleotides long. RefSeq lists it as uncharacterized. The transcript has 3 exons. The record is from RefSeq and is a predicted model, not a curated record. Lineage: Eukaryota; Metazoa; Arthropoda; Insecta; Hymenoptera; Diprionidae.